GACGAACGCUGGCGGCGUGCUUAACACAUGCAAGUCGAACGGAAAGGCCCUGCUUUUGUGGGGUGCUCGAGUGGCGAACGGGUGAGUAACACGUGAGUAACCUGCCCUUGACUUUGAGAUAACUUCAGGAAACUGGGGCUAAUACCGGAUAGGAGCUCCUGCUGCAUGGUGGGGGUUGGAAAGUUUCGGCGGUUGGGGAUGGACUCGCGGCUUAUCAGCUUGUUGGUGGGGUAGUGGCUUACCAAGGCUUUGACGGGUAGCCGGCCUGAGAGGGUGACCGGCAACAUGGGGCUGGAGAGAGGCCCGGGACUCCAGGGGGGGGAAGCGGGGGGGAUUUUGGAAGAGGGGGAGGAACCCUAAGGCAGCAGCGCCGGGGGGGGGGGGGGGGCUUUGGGGUUUAAACCCGCUUUCGCUUGGGACAGAGGGUGGGUGAGGGAAAGGGGUAAAGAAGCACCGGCUAACUACGUG
Molecule: ribosomal RNA, 468 nt
Filed under: uncultured bacterium
Lineage: Bacteria
Description: partial 16S ribosomal RNA
Rfam family: Bacterial small subunit ribosomal RNA
Source: RNAcentral